This 632-nucleotide ribosomal RNA is filed under the name uncultured bacterium. Its description in RNAcentral is "bacterial SSU rRNA". It matches the Rfam family "Bacterial small subunit ribosomal RNA", at positions 65 to 685 of the family's 1533-position model. The record is from RNAcentral.
AGGGGCAGCGGGGAGGAAGCUUGCUUUCUCCGCCGGCGACCGGCGCACGGGUGAGUAACACGUAUGCAACCUGCCCCUGUCAGGGGGACAACCCGCCGAAAGGCGGGCUAAACCCGCGUACAUGCCACCGGGGCAUCCCGGAGGCAGGAAAGGCUUCGGCCGGACAGGGAUGGGCAUGCGGCGCAUUAGGCAGUAGGCGGGGUAACGGCCCACCUAACCGACGAUGCGUAGGGGUUCUGAGAGGAAGGUCCCCCACACUGGUACUGAGACACGGACCAGACUCCUACGGGAGGCAGCAGUGAGGAAUAUUGGUCAAUGGUCGGGAGACUGAACCAGCCAAGCCGCGUGAGGGAGGAAGGUACAGAGUAUCGUAAACCUCUUUUGUCAGGGAACAAAAGACUGGGACGCGUCCCCGGAUGAGAAAACCAGAAGAUAAAGCAUCGGCUAACGCGGUGCCAGCAGCCGCGGUAAUACGGAGGAUGCGAGCGUUAUCCGGAUUUAUUGGGUUUAAAGGGUGCGCAGGCGGUCUGUUAAGUCAGCGGUCAAAGCCCGGGGCUCAACCCCGGCCCGCCGUUGAAACUGGCAGUCUCGAGUUGGAGAGAAGUAUGCGGAAUGCGCGGUGUAGCGGUGAA